GACGAACGCUGGCGGCGUGCUUAACACAUGCAAGUCGAACGGUGAAGCGCCUUCCUUUUUGGUGGGUGUGGAUGAGUGGCGAACGGGUGAGUAACACGUGAGUAACCUGCCCCCUUCUUCUGGAUAACCGCAUGAAAGUGUGGCUAAUACGGGAUAUUCUGGGUCUGUCGCAUGAUGGGUCUGGGAAAGAUAUUGUUUCGGUGGGGGAUGGGCUCGCGGCCUAUCAGCUUGUUGGUGGGGUGAUGGCCUACCAAGGCGGUGACGGGUAGCCGGCCUGAGAGGGUGGACGGUCACACUGGGACUGAGACACGGCCCAGACCCCUACGGGAGGCAGCAGUGGGGAAUAUUGCACAAUGGGCGCAAGCCUGAUGCAGCGACGCCGCGUGAGGGAUGGAGGCCUGCGGGUUGUGAACCUCUUUCGCCAGUGAAGCAGGCCUGCCUCGUUUGUGGGUGGGUUGACGGUAGCUGGAUAAGAAGCGCCGGCUAACUACGUG
This 494-nucleotide ribosomal RNA is filed under the name uncultured bacterium. RNAcentral's name for it is "partial 16S ribosomal RNA". It matches the Rfam family "Bacterial small subunit ribosomal RNA", at positions 28 to 507 of the family's 1533-position model. The record is from RNAcentral.